GUUCAUAUCCUUUUGUAAUUCCAUUUGCUUUUAAGUUAUGUAAAAUGUUGUCAUCACUCACUGCUAUUAGCUCUCACUUGAGUGCACAAUUCUGUUCCAGACCACAGACUCUUCAGAAAAAAUAGACUCUGCAAGAUCAGUGCUAUUUCCUUGAUGUCACUACAAGGAGAGAGGAAAGUGGCCAAGACAUCCACUGAAGCUAUCCUGUGCAGUCAGAAUGCUUUACUUCCAAAUGUUUGUAUGUUUGUAUCUGCUCUGCGCAACUAAUGUAUGAGAACACAAGCAAGUCUGAAGUCCUCAGUAUUUUCUUUUGAAGUACACCAUACAUUCAAAUCAGCCAAAUGUUUCUUCUCCUAUUGGGACCUCUGAAGAUGAUUAUUUGCUGCUUUAAGAAUAUAUUAAAGUAAGAGUUCUAUGGAAACUGAGUAUGCUGACUUCAUCCUUAUGAUGAUGGAGAUGGACUCAUGAGAAGGCCUGCGUUUUCAAGUCUGAAUGGUGCCAUACAGAAGUGCCAUAGUGCAUGUUGUGAGACAAAAGCAGAAGGGAAGUUUUCCAGUGCACUUUGAACCCUACAGAAACACUUCACUGGGUUGCAGACCACAGUUCAAGAAGAAAGAUGCGGAAACUGACUCCAUGACGGAAAGCACUGCCACUUUGGACCAAAGCACCACUUCAGUUUUCCAUAAACAAUAAAUGCACUCCCUGGUUUUGUCUGAAAUAUGUAAGUCUGUUGCUAGGCUAGAAGAUGAAAUUAACUUCUGAGUUGGUUAAAUUCCUUAAAUGGUAUGGUAAAUAUCUUCUAAAUGUAUAAAGGGUUUUUUUUCCAGUCUUCUCUGACUUUAUUUAUCCUUAUGUAUUCUUUCCAGAAGAAAUUAAUGAAUAUUUGCCAAGUCUUCUCAGAAAAGAAUAGAUUAACAGUUGUACAGAUGUCAUGGGUAUGACAGAGGUCAUUUCAGAUUAGGUUGCUGACUGAAAACAAAUUGAGAGUCACUAGCACCUCUGCUCUCAAAUGGACAUAUUAUACAAGUGGGACAUACAUUUUUGUGGUUUGCAGAAUAAUUUAUUAUUAUUAUUAUUUUGAUUUAAUUACCCAGAUUCAUACUUUUUUACAAAAAAACAGUAUUGAAGAGCAUCUUUCCAUGAAUCCACAUUGAUAAUCUCACCUAAAGGAUAGGCUAGGAUUUCAACUCUGUGAAGCAAUUGCUGACUGCUUUAAGCGAACUAUUCUCCAUCUGAAAUUCUAUUAACAUUUUUUAUAACAGUUUUUAUGAGUAUUAGCCGUGAACAAGUAAGAAGCAACUUGCUUUAGGAGUGCCCUUGUUCUGUUCAGUAGUAGUUUCCACUUCCUGAUGGAGAAUCCUAGCAGUAGUAUCUCUCCAGCAGCAUCUUCAUUGUGGAGAAGGCAAAAGAAACUUGAUGCGGAUGUUUAAUUGUUUAUGAAGUCAUUGACAGAUCUUUUUGAUACACUGGCACAAGGAAGUCUUAAUCUUAAACUUAUUAAUUUAACCUUUAACUGAAAUAGGACUCAAGUCUACUGGCUUAAAGGGAGAGAGUCCAGUAUACUCUCAAGAGAAAGACCAACAGAGGACAACGGAUACUUCAGAAUAACAUAUACUCCUAUGCUCUUGAAAGAAGAAAACACAUGGAGUGAACCAUUCAGUCUAUAAUGUUCAGUUCUGUGCUAUUGCUGCUGUAUAUUCAAACACUACUCAAAUAAAUUUAAAUUUCUUUUGAAGUGAAGUAAGAUAAUCACUAAUCUCUGCUGAACUUGACUAUUUGAAUGAGAUAAUAUGAAUUGCUUUUAAAUCUGGAAACAUGUAGACACUGUUAUUCAUAGAUUGACUGCACAUAGGGGUUAAUGUACAAAGAUAGAAAUCAAAAAUGAGAUGCAUUGGAUAAAGUGUGAAUUCAACAUAUUCUGUGAACCAUCCCAGAGCUGAACAGCUUUGGCUAUCACCAUCUAAUUUUAUUGCUUUCCUGCCUGGUAAGUUGUUCUGUAAGUGCUCUCUAAGAAAAGACCUUGCUGAAAGUUGAAAACUGGACAUCGUUAGUUUAAGAUUUUCUGAUAGCUUCUGUGUUGAUUUUCAACAUAAUUCUGAGAACUUCACUGUUACAAUAUAUUGCUUUUUACAGUUACACUGAGCUGAGGCUGUAUAAAUGAUAUACAGCUGCUUUUUUUCCCCUAGAAAUGAGCAUCUGUAUGAAAAUGGCAACUUCUAUACAAUAUUUUAUUCUGAAAAUUGUCUGAGUUACUCAAAAUGAAGGGUUCUAGUGUCACAAGUGAACACUCAAGGUCACUGUUCAGGUACUUGCAUACCACAGGUGGUGUCAUGGAAAAUUUAGUUUCUAAGCACAUGACCAUGAAAACAACACAAGCAGCCUUAAAUAAAACAGUGGACACAGUUGUAUGGGUAAGAUAAAUCAAAGAAGGAAGUAUUUUCAGAAUCUCAAAGCCAAAUACUGAAAUAAAUGUCUUGAGUGCAUGCCACUGAACAAUUUGGAACAACUCUAUGAUUCUAUAACUCGUACAUUAAAUUUAAAUAAUGUAAGCAGGUUUCCUAUCCAGUAGUUUGAGAAAAUCAGUGAAAGAAUUUUCUCAUGUAUCUACGUCUGCUCUUCUUACAAAAAAAAAAAAAAAAAAGAAAGAAAGAAAGAAAAGAAAAGUACGACUAACCACUAUAUUCCUUCAAAUAUGUGGAAGCAGCAGCCUUACUGUGUUUAAGAAGGCUAAGGGAACUGUUCCACCAAUUAACUAGUCCAUUUUCAAGUGGUCAGCUUAGAAGUAAAUUUAGCAAAUCAGGUAUGAGGCUUUCAAGAUACAUUACCCAUGGUACUUAUAACCUGAUCUGGCUACAUGCAGGUAUAACUUCCUUCUUCAAGAAAUAAUUGUAUGUCAUAUAAAGAAAGAACCAUUCUGUAGCUGUGGGAAAAUAAAAUACAUAAAUAAAUAAAAAACAUUGAAAGAAAAUAAAACAACAAACAACAACAACCUAAACUACCAUAACGCUUUAUUAUGCAGAGAAAAGAAUAAGAGGAUUAAAAGGUAAACGAUAGCCCCCAAAAAGUAAUCUUUCUGUGUGCAACUGCUUUCCUGAGUGCAGAGUCCUGUAGCUCCUUUGGAGGAUUUGCACUCAGAAGUAUGACUGUCCAAUCAACAACUUCAAGAGGAUGUUAUUUCCACUGAAAUGAAGAAGUACAUACAUUAGCAAAAAGUGACCUCGAAACAAACAAACAAAGAAACAAAUAAUAUUAUUUCAAUAUGUUAUACUCCAAUACAAUAUAUAUAUAUAUAUAUAUAUUUUUUUGGCGUAUUGAUAGUAAUUGAGUUGAGGUUAAAGACCAUCAGCUAGAAGAUAGCUUCCUUCUUCAAAUCUACAAGCUUACUUCUUUAUCUCUACUCCAUCCUUAACUGUAAUUAGAGAAGCGGGAACUCCAUACCAUAGCAGUUGAACCUAACUACCACUAAUCUUUUAAUUGAAACUAAAUGAUGGAAAGAUAGAAAAUGAGCAAGAUAGAAUGGAAAAAAAACAACUUCCUUUUGUCUCUGCAGAGUACUUAUCAACCCACACACCAUCAAUAAAUAUAGUGGUAUUAACUAUGCUGAACUUAAUCUUUUCCAUUAAAAUGGAAUACUGAAAGUUUGAAGAGAGGUUUGGAAUCUUGACUCACAGUCCACUGCAAACAAUUUUCUUCCUUUAAAGGGCAAGGGAGGUUGAUAAAAGCCUCAGGAAACCCUUGAUUGUUGCUCCGGAGUGUCAGACAGAGAGCAAUGUCACUUGUCAUUUUCCAUUUUGCACCAGCUGAGCACCUAUAUGUACAUCUGGCAGGCAGCUGCUGACCCAGCUCCUCCAUGCAGGCAGCUGUUUUGAACAAGGGACAGUUAUACAGUGCUCCACGUGAUGGGCUCUAGCAGAGCCCAGGGCACUAGAAGGAAAGAGUCACGGCUACCCUUUAUUCCUCAUGGAGUGCUUUUGCAAAUACCCACAUGAGAUCCAGACAUCAGGACGCUGCACCAUGCACUUUGAAUAUGCAUGGCACAUCCCAGAGGAAACCUAGUUUAUCCAGAUUGGCCUCCACUUUACCUAGUUUGCAACCACUCCAUCAGUCAACAAGAGAGACCAUAGAAAGAUGGCAGAGAUGACGUGUCCUGGAGAAGUGUUUCCUCUUUCUGCAUCUGUCAGGGGAUGGGGAACAUGACCAAAUCUGCUGGUGGGGUAGUCCCAGCUUGGGAAUGUUGGAAACGUUCUGACAGCAGCCACACAUGCUCUCCUCAUGUUGUCUGCUUUGUAACAUGCAUAUGUAUAGGUAUAAACUCCAUGUACACAUCUAUAUUGAACUACACAUUAAGGUUGCCUCAAAAAUUAUCAGAUUUUUUCUUUGGACUUAUUUUUUCUAAGAUGAUUCCUUACAUAUAUAUGCAGACAUAUGCUUGUAUGUAUAUACAUGCAAAUAACAUGUAUAUAUUUAUAUUAAAAUGCUUUUAAAUCACAACUACUCAGGUUAAACAGUAAAUUAUUGCUUGAAGCAGACUUCAGCCUGUGUCAGAUUUUGGAUUUCUCCAGGUUUUAUGUGAUAAUGAAAAAUUUUAAAUUGAUAUAACAUUAGAAAGUGGUGGUGUGUUUUGUUUUGUUUAACUUGUACAUUUAAAUGUAAGCCACUUUUCUGGCCUUCCUAAAUAUUAUGUUUUGAAGUCAAG
This 4696-nucleotide long non-coding RNA is filed under the name Gallus gallus (chicken). RNAcentral describes it as "lncRNA (ENSGALG00010014202.1)". Lineage: Eukaryota; Metazoa; Chordata; Aves; Galliformes; Phasianidae. The record is from RNAcentral.